Molecule: ribosomal RNA, 452 nt
Filed under: uncultured Sphingobacteriales bacterium
Lineage: Bacteria; Pseudomonadati; Bacteroidota; Sphingobacteriia; Sphingobacteriales
Description: bacterial SSU rRNA
Rfam family: Bacterial small subunit ribosomal RNA
Source: RNAcentral
CGGGGGGCAGCAGUAAGGAAUAUUGGACAAUGGUCGCAAGACUGAUCCAGCCAUGCCGCGUGCAGGAUGACGGCCCUAUGGGUUGUAAACUGCUUUUAUACGGGAAAAAACCCCUCUACGUGUAGAGGGCUGAUUGUACUGUAAGAAUAAGGAUCGGCUAACUCCGUGCCAGCAGCCGCGGUAAUACGGAGGAUCCAAGCGUUAUCCGGAUUCAUUGGGUUUAAAGGGUGCGUAGGCGGAAUGAUAAGUCAGUGGUGAAAUCUCUCAGCUUAACUGAGAAACUGCCAUUGAUACUGUCAAUCUUGAGUAUAUUUGAUGUGGGCGGAAUGUGUCAUGUAGCGGUGAAAUGCUUAGAUAUGACACAGAACACCGAUUGCGAAGGCAGCUCACAAAACUAUAACUGACGCUGAGGCACGAAAGCGUGGGUAUCAAACAGGAUUAGAUACCCGAGU